Molecule: non-coding RNA, 59 nt
Filed under: unclassified sequences
Description: L31-Actinobacteria ribosomal protein leader
Rfam family: L31-Actinobacteria ribosomal protein leader
Source: RNAcentral
CUGGUUCCCGGUUCACGUCGAGGUGUGCGGCUCAGCGCACCACCGACGACCCGGUGACC